GGUGACCGAGCCUGACGAACGGCUUCAGGCCGCCAAGAGAGCAUGGCAAGUGCUCGGGAGGUGGUGG
This 67-nucleotide non-coding RNA is filed under the name Scrippsiella hangoei. Lineage: Eukaryota; Dinophyceae; Peridiniales; Peridiniaceae. The record is from RNAcentral.